This 76-nucleotide transfer RNA is filed under the name Cyanobium sp. RNAcentral describes it as "tRNA-Met". It matches the Rfam family "tRNA". From Rfam's summary of the family: Transfer RNA (tRNA) molecules are approximately 80 nucleotides in length. Their secondary structure includes four short double-helical elements and three loops (D, anti-codon, and T loops). The record is from RNAcentral. Lineage: Bacteria; Bacillati; Cyanobacteriota; Cyanophyceae; Synechococcales; Prochlorococcaceae.
GGGGGUCUAGCAAUCUGGUGAAUGCAGCGGGCUCAUAAUCCGCCUGAGCCGAGUUCGAUCCUCGGGACCCCCAUCA